UGUGGUUAUAGCUUAGUUGAUACAGUGCUUGCCUCACAUGCACAAGGCCCUGGGUUCAACCCCAGCACCACAA
RNAcentral lists this transfer RNA (73 nucleotides) under Marmota monax (woodchuck). RNAcentral's name for it is "tRNA.Val". It matches the Rfam family "tRNA". From Rfam's summary of the family: Transfer RNA (tRNA) molecules are approximately 80 nucleotides in length. Their secondary structure includes four short double-helical elements and three loops (D, anti-codon, and T loops). Further hydrogen bonds mediate the characteristic L-shaped molecular structure. tRNAs have two regions of fundamental functional importance: the anti-codon, which is responsible for specific mRNA codon recognition, and the 3' end, to which the tRNAs corresponding amino acid is attached (by aminoacyl-tRNA synthetases). tRNAs cope with the degeneracy of the genetic code in two manners: having more than one tRNA (with a specific anti-codon) for a particular amino acid; and 'wobble' base-pairing, i.e. permitting non-standard base-pairing at the 3rd anti-codon position. Lineage: Eukaryota; Metazoa; Chordata; Mammalia; Rodentia; Sciuridae. The record is from RNAcentral.